This 514-nucleotide ribosomal RNA is filed under the name uncultured bacterium. RNAcentral's name for it is "partial 16S ribosomal RNA". It matches the Rfam family "Bacterial small subunit ribosomal RNA", at positions 28 to 523 of the family's 1533-position model. The record is from RNAcentral.
GAUGAACGCUGGCGGCGUGCCUAAUACAUGCAAGUCGAGCGCGAGAAUGAGGAGCUUGCUCCUCAUGAUCGAGCGGCGGACGGGUGAGUAACACGUAGGCAACCUACCCUUGAGAUUGGGAUAACUACCGGAAACGGUAGCUAAUACCGGAUACGACUUUUCCACACAAGUGGAAUUGUUAAAAGGCGGAUUUAUCUGCCGCUCAUGGAUGGGCCUGCGGUGCAUUAGCUAGUUGGUGAGGUGGUGGCUCACCAAGGCGACGAUUCAUAGCCGACCUGAGAGGGUGAGCGGCCACCCUGGGACUGAGACACGGCCCAGACUCCUACGGGAGGCAGCGGUAGGGAAUCUUCCGCAAUGGACGCAAGUCUGACGGAGCAACGCCGCGUGAGUGACGAAGGGUUUCGGCUCGUAAAACUCUGUUGUUAAGGAAGAACACUUGAGGUAGUAACUGGCCUUGAGAUGACGGUACUUAACCAGAAAGCCACGGCUAACUACGUGCCAGCAGCCGCCGUAA